Halichondria panicea is the source of this 1005-nucleotide RNA transcript. It is a transcript of the gene named protein crossbronx homolog, with no coding region annotated. The record is from RefSeq and is a predicted model, not a curated record. The transcript has 8 exons. Lineage: Eukaryota; Metazoa; Porifera; Demospongiae; Suberitida; Halichondriidae.
AUUAUGGUGCACUUCAUAUAGAAUGUGGUGGAAGACAAUGCAUAAUGACUGAAAAAGAAGUCAAUGACAUGAGUUCCCUGUCGGCUAGUCCGUGGUCGUCCUUCCAUUCCUCUAUCACCCUGUCUGCUAGGGGACCAGGUACUCCGGUGCGACAAUCAGAAAGAACGGCUACCAAGCAAGACUUUAGUGGAACAAUAACCUCUGAUCUGCAACAGCGUUUCACAGAGCUAGAUCUCCUCAUUGAAUAUAAACUGUUGUGUUUGAAUUCAACUAAAGGAGUGUAUGUGCUACCGUCCUCAAAGUCUCUGUUCGAGUGGCAUGGUGUUAUCUUUGUCCAUUCUGGGCCAUUCAAAGACGGUGUGUUCAGGUUUACCAUGUUCAUCCCAGAUGGUUUCCCCAAGCAACGUCCUCUGGUUCGGUUUCACUCUCGGAUCUAUCACCCCUACAUUCAUUCAAGCAAUAGGGUAUUGAAUAUGAUGAGAGCAUUCCCUUCGUGGGACCCACAGAAGCAUCAUCUCUGGAACAUUAUUCGGUACACACAAGAUUGUUUCUACAACCCUGAGACAUGGCAAGAAGCUGACCAGAAUGUAUUGAUACCGCAGGCCCAAACCUCUGCUUUAGAAUCGUUCAAGAAUGUGUAUGAUCCCGUGGAUGGUAGGUCAAUGUCGGUCUGGUAUGAGUACCUGAUACUGUACAUGUCAGCACCUCUCAAUUGUGUUACCAUAGAACUGAGUAAUUAUUCAGCUAGAGGCUGUAGACUACUGAGGCCUACUUGUGAGUAUACAGAAGGCAAUGUGAGCAUACAGCUGCCUUUGUCCAAAGUUGUCAUAUGAAAACCUUAACCUACCACUGAUAAAUCAGGAGGUGAUGGUAGAAAUUCGAUUUGCUUUAGCCAGUUCAGUUCAGACCAGUUUGAAACAGCUAUCCAAACAUUGAUUAAAGGGGACCUUCCCACUACCAAACAGUCUGGAAACACGCACAGCAUGCUGUCAAAUGUUACUGGCC